RNAcentral lists this ribosomal RNA (543 nucleotides) under Triatoma recurva. RNAcentral describes it as "partial large subunit ribosomal RNA". It matches the Rfam family "Bacterial large subunit ribosomal RNA", at positions 1808 to 2621 of the family's 2925-position model. The record is from RNAcentral. Lineage: Eukaryota; Metazoa; Arthropoda; Insecta; Hemiptera; Reduviidae.
CAAAAACAUGUCCUUUUGUUUAUUUAUUUAAGGUCUGGCCUGCCCAAUGAGGAAUUCAAUGGCCGCAGUAUUUUAACUGUGCUAAGGUAGCAUAAUCACUUGUCUUUUAAUUGAGGGCUGGAAUGAAAGGUUGGACGAGAUAUUAACUUUCUUUAAUUUAGUUUUAAGAAUUUAAUUUUUGAGUUAAAAAGCUCAAAUUUAUUUGUUGGACGAGAAGACCCUAUAGAUCUUUAUAAUUUUAUAUUUUAGUAAUUUGGUGGUUAUAUUUACUGUAAGUAAAAGAAUUAUUUUGUUGGGGUGACUGUAGAAUUUUAUUAACUUCUAUUAUAUUAGUUUCAUUGAUUGAUGUUUUUUUGAUCCAUAUUUUUAUGAUUAAAAGAUUAAGUUACCUUAGGGAUAACAGCGUAAUUUUUUCGGAGAGUCCAUAUUGAUGAAGGAGUUUGCGACCUCGAUGUUGGAUUAAAAUAAGUUAUGGAUGCAGGAGUUCAUAUACUAGGUCUGUUCGACCUUUAAAUUUUUACAUGAUCUGAGUUCAAACCGGAG